Molecule: long non-coding RNA, 2553 nt
Organism: Pistacia vera
Lineage: Eukaryota; Viridiplantae; Streptophyta; Magnoliopsida; Sapindales; Anacardiaceae
Exons: 7
Source: RefSeq, a predicted model, not a curated record
UGGGUAACAACUUGAUUCGCUAAUGCUCUCUUUUGUUGAAAAGAAAUUUAAAAUUUUCAUUUUAACUUGAUUGACUUAUAGAUGACCUCCCUCAGUCUUACUGAAAAAACAUCUUAGUCAGGUUUCUGAUUGCUGGGUUUGCAACUUAUUUGGGUUAUCUACACUUUGGAGUUCCUUUCAUGGAUAUGAGAAUUGAUUUUUAGAAUAGAUUUUCGACUAGCGUUCUUGUCAUUUAUGGACAGAGAUUCAACCAUAAUUUGCAGCCCCAGAUCUCCUGUAAAGUGAGGUCUGAUUCUGUAACUCACAAAGGUAUACAUUUGUGGCUGGCACUGGAUAUGUCGCAUCUUUGCUCAUCAGUCUAUUGCUUCGGAAGGGGUAUUCUGUCAACGUUUUGUGCUUUUACCCUUUCUUUCUACUAGAUUUUGACAUUAUAUGUGAUCUAAUUAUUUUAAGUUUUGGUAGUCUACAGCUGCUGCACGUCUUCCAUAAUGUCACACUUGUGUUGGUGCUAAUGAGGAACAUGGUAAUUAUUAACUCAUUUUGAAUGUGGCAUCUUGUGAGGCUUCUAAUGAAAUAGAUGCUCCUAAAGCUGCAUCUGUGAUGGUGGAGCCACAGGAAGAGGUAGCCAAGCGAGGUGAUACAAAACUAUCAAUUGAAUAAUCAGAUUGCCCAAGCGGUCCUGUGACAGAGAAAAAAUGGGUUUCGGCUGAUAAAGAAUCUUCUGCUACCUGCUGUAAAAUGGAUUCGACAGUGACACAAGCGAGUUAAACUGUAUUGGAGACUGGAAGCCCAAAAGUUUAGAAGUUCAAGAUUGAUCUGAUGAGUUGCUGUAUCUCCAUAGACUGUUGAAGUUGAAGAAGAUAUGUGAAGGUCGCCUCUAUGCAGUGUCAUUUACCGAAUUAAGGACCAUAAUAAUUAGACAAUGUGAUGAGUUUAGAGUAUAUCUUCUCAAUCUUCAUGGCAAGAAACCUUUCACAUCUCCAAGAAGUCGAAGUGACUGAUUGCAAGAACCUAAAAGAGAUUUUUGGUGAUGAAGAAAUUGAAGAAUCUACAGAACAUGCUGAUCAGAGGUUGUGUUCCCAAAACUUUUAAGGUUGACUGUGAAGGUUCAUUGUCCAAGCUUGGGAUAUCACCUAAAAAUCCCAAGUAAGGGCUACAGAAUGUUGAAGCAUGAAAAACUUCUUUUCAGUCUCUAUAGCUGCAGGUCUCUGGAAACUUAAAGAGAUUGAGAUAAACUCUUGUGGGUUGGAGGAAAUUGUUGCCAUGGAGAAAGUAGAAGCGCCCCCUAAGUUUGAGUUUCCUCAACUAAAUUUCUUGCAACUUGUGGAUUUACCAGAACUCAAAAGUUUGUACCUGAGGUCGCACACAACAAAGUUGCCAUUGCUAAAAAGCUUGGUGGUUUAUCAUUGUCAUAAGCUUCUUAGCCAAUCCGAAAACCCAACUCAACAUCCUCUGUUUUGCCUUGGGGAGGUGAUAUCCGAUAAGAAGUUGGAGAAAUUGUCUGUAAACAGCAAUGAUAUUAAAUUGAUAUGCUCAGGCAGCAACCAUUUUUCAGCAAAGAUGUUUCACAAACUUGAAGAUCUUCAGGUGGUCUGCUUUCAUGAUGAAUCACCUGUCUUUCCAUUAGAUGUUCUUGAUAUUGUCUUCAGAUGGACUCUAUCAAUACUUCACCUACAAAGAAGCUGUAUUAGAAGUUGAGUUAUUCAUCACUGCAUUUCCUGAAGGAGAUCCUGCACAACAUCUCAUCGAAGAAGUACUAUUCCUCACAGCAAAGAAAGCUGGUAAGAAUCUGAACUAAAUGAGAAAAAGUUAAUCUAAUGAACUUGGUUUUGUUAACAAUGCAGGUAUUGACUUCCAUGUGUUGUUUGAUAUCCCACAAGGGGAUCGCCGAAGAUAUAACGACGAUGUUACUAUCAUCCUAAUAUCAUUCAAGGGAAGAAUAUGGCGUUCAUCUGUGUAAAUAGAGAUAGCUUAUAGAAAAGACAUAUAAAUCCAUACAGAAAAUAUGGGAUGAAGUUGGAGAGCCUGAUGUUGAAAGGGAUCAGACAACAAUGGAGAUUGAAAAGGAGUGCUGGCAGUAUAUGGGAGAAAAUAGAUGAGGCAAAAACUUCUAGAGCUCAUCUUCAGAGAGCAAUUGCUCUUUCUGAAUCUGAAAUUGCUGGUAUAUGUUCUUCAUUGAGGGAGAGCAACCUGUGAAUGUAAGUUCCUUUUGGAUUGAAGAAACAAGACUAAUGUUUUAACUUACUUCUUAGUGAAUAUAGUGAAAUUUUUUAAGUGGUUGAUAAUUAGUAUGUGUUGGUUGAGGACUUCAGUCUGAUCAAAAGGCAGGUGGAAAUUUGAAAGAAAAACUUAAAACCAUUAUUCCACAAUUGGAGGAUGUGCGCCAGAGGAAGACAGAGAGAGAGUCAAUUUGCUGAAGUGUUACUGAAUUGUGUUUUACCCUUUCCUCUGAAAAAACUGAUGUAUUAUCAAAGUUGCAUGUUUAUACCUAUAAUAUGCUGGAAUACUUAUCACUGUGUUCUCCACAACCUUGAUUAUCUUGGGGCUUUUUUC